Molecule: ribosomal RNA, 730 nt
Filed under: uncultured bacterium
Lineage: Bacteria
Description: bacterial SSU rRNA
Rfam family: Bacterial small subunit ribosomal RNA
Source: RNAcentral
AACAGGAUUAGAUACCCUGGUAGUCCACGCCGUAAACGAUGUCGACUUGGAGGUUGUUCCCUUGAGGAGUGGCUUCCGGAGCUAACGCGUUAAGUCGACCGCCUGGGGAGUACGGCCGCAAGGUUAAAACUCAAAUGAAUUGACGGGGGCCCGCACAAGCGGUGGAGCAUGUGGUUUAAUUCGAUGCAACGCGAAGAACCUUACCUACUCUUGACAUCCACGGAAUUCGGCAGAGAUGCCUUAGUGCCUUUGGGAACCGUGAGACAGGUGCUGCAUGGCUGUCGUCAGCUCGUGUUGUGAAAUGUUGGGUUAAGUCCCGCAACGAGCGCAACCCUUAUCCUUUGUUGCCAGCGAUUCGGUCGGGAACUCAAAGGAGACUGCCGGUGAUAAACCGGAGGAAGGUGGGGAUGACGUCAAGUCAUCAUGGCCCUUACGAGUAGGGCUACACACGUGCUACAAUGGCGCAUACAAAGAGAAGCGACCUCGCGAGAGCAAGCGGACCUCAUAAAGUGCGUCGUAGUCCGGAUCGGAGUCUGCAACUCGACUCCGUGAAGUCGGAAUCGCUAGUAAUCGUGGAUCAGAAUGCCACGGUGAAUACGUUCCCGGGCCUUGUACACACCGCCCGUCACACCAUGGGAGUGGGUUGCAAAAGAAGUAGGUAGCUUAACCUUCGGGAGGGCGCUUACCACUUUGUGAUUCAUGACUGGGGUGAAGUCGUAACAAGGUAACC